This is a long non-coding RNA of Parus major (Great Tit), 2130 nucleotides long. The record is from Ensembl. Lineage: Eukaryota; Metazoa; Chordata; Aves; Passeriformes; Paridae.
AUUUAUUAUUCUACACCAAACACAUCAGUUUACAGUGAUGCUUUGCUCAAGACAAGCCCUGAAGAAGUGAUAAGAUAGUGGAAAUCAGGAGAGGGAGAAAGAAUAAAUUAAAUCUAGGUUAUUUUAUUAUUGAUUUUUUUAGUCUAAAUACCUGUGGAUAAUUUUGUUCCAGUUCCACAGAAACAAUCACUCUUUGCAAAACAAACUUCAGAUCCCACUAUUUCCAGAAUAAACCAUGCACCUGGAAGAUUUUAUCACAGAAACUAUGCUCACAUUUGAGUAAAGAGAAAUUCCUUCUUAUUUCCUAUCAUUAAUACAGGUCCUUAGCUGACCUCUGGAGUUUCCUGGUAGUCUGUUGAUGGUGCUAGUCAAGAAUAUUGUGACUUCUGCUGUCUCCAGGUCUGAAAAAGUGUGGUAAAAUCUGAACACUAAUAUUGCAGCCCUUUGACCUCAAAUGUGUAUGCUGAAAAUUCAGAUCCCAUCUGGACCCAGUGAAUGUGCGACUUGAAAGAAGGCAAAUGAAUGAAGACUUCCAUGCUCUGGAGCUUCAACAGAGAGGUGCUGCAGAUCACCUGGGAAAAUUCCAGUACUGUGAGAAAUUUUCCAUCUAGUUUAAUUUUUAAAUUCUCUGGUAUUUUAAUUGAAUUAAUAAAAACAGGAAGAAGAGAGAAAAAUUAUAUUUGGAUUUUUUACUUAGAUUGAAACUAGCAGGAGAAAGGGGAUUAUCUCACUUGAUGAAGUAGAGAUCAUUACUUUUCAUCAAAAAACUGUUGUCUUUUUCAAUGUCAGAUGCUUUUGCUCUUUGAGGAAUAAACUGAGAAGGCUACAGCUAUACUUCAUGGAUGUUUAUGUGCAGGCCUUGUCUCCUCACUGGGCUCCAGAAUCACAGCUCCAUGAAAAUUCGUCUUUGUGCCACUGAGGCACAGGGCAACAGUAAGAACAGCCUUCAGGGAGUGCUUCACCUGGUACUGGGUUUCAAAGAGACAUUUUUCAGACUGUGGCUUUACAGUCAGUUUUUAAGAGUCCCUGGAAAUAUCUCCCAAUCCCAUGGCUCCACAGAUUGCCAGCUGAAGAUGACCAUUUGUGAAACUGGACUUCAAGCCAAGUCUGUGGCAAAAAUAAGCUGCAAAAAUGAUGUAUCACAACUAAACACUGCUGAACAAUGCUACCCUGAUGCUGUUCUGCCAUUUUUCAGGUUGCAACCUAACCAUCUGUUAAUUUUCCCCAUCACACAUUGCUAUGGGGUGCUGAGAUUCAUUGCAGGCCUACAGGAUGAUUGGUGUCUCCUGAGUCAUUCAGGAUGGGGCCUCGCAGCUUUUCAGGUCCUGCUGCUGUUUACAUCAAGUGCACUAAGGCUGGCUAUCCCAGCUGCCAUCCUCUGUCUGAUUGCCUCAGCCUCAUUGCUAUUUUAUGACCAGAGAUUGUGUCUGAGCAGAGUGAUGUGAAUGCAUCACCUGCCUUCAAGAAAAUCAGUUUGUGCCAAGGAGGACAGGAUUUUUAGGCAUUGUGACUGUCAGCUAACCUCACCUGGAAACAAAGUGUGGUGCUUUGCGUGCGGUGGGACUGAUCCUGCACCCCAGCACUCAACCUUGGCAUUGCUUUCACAGGGAUCAGAAUAAUUCCUGGUCAAGCUAAGACCCGCUUCUGUUUAUGUUCCUUUCUAAAACUUUCUAAAACUAAUCUCUCUUUUCUCCACUGCACAUAUUUUCACAUUUGUGCUAAUGAAAGCGCUGGAUUGUUCCAGGGGAUCACAUGGAAAAUAUCUGUGAGCUUUGGCCAUCUCUCUGAAAUACUACAGUCAAUUUGGUGUUUGCUUUGGCAUGUUGCUGUGAAAGAUUGUAGAGUGCUUGUGUUUGUACGCACACAGGGAAAGAGGGCUCCUGCUCAUUGUGCCUUUGUGAGGCUGCCAGACUGUCUGGCCCCAUCUAUUCUACUGUAAGUGAAAAGAGCCUCACGAGUGCUCACUGCAUGCUUGGUCCAGGCUCUGCUAGGUACUACCCUUGGAAGCCCUUCUGUCAGCUUGAAAAAUACCUUUCUGUCUGAAUAGUGUUUACUCUCUGUUGUUACAAGUAACAUGUUAAGAUUGCUUGUCUGUGAAUAAAUUUUUCCUUCUUCCCUUUGUUUCUUCCA